UACGGAGGGGGCUAGCGUUGUUCGGAAUUACUGGGCGUAAAGCGCACGUAGGCGGCUUUGCAAGUUAGAGGUGAAAGCCCGGGGCUCAACUCCGGAAUUGCCUUUAAAACUGCAUCGCUAGAAUUGUGGAGAGGUAAGUGGAAUUCCGAGUGUAGAGGUGAAAUUCGUAGAUAUUCGGAAGAACACCAGUGGCGAAGGCGACUUACUGGACACGUAGUGACGCUGAGGUGCGAAAGCGUGGGGAGCAAACAGG
This 253-nucleotide ribosomal RNA is filed under the name uncultured bacterium. Its description in RNAcentral is "partial 16S ribosomal RNA". It matches the Rfam family "Bacterial small subunit ribosomal RNA", at positions 524 to 776 of the family's 1533-position model. The record is from RNAcentral.